Molecule: ribosomal RNA, 303 nt
Filed under: Triticum aestivum (bread wheat)
Lineage: Eukaryota; Viridiplantae; Streptophyta; Magnoliopsida; Poales; Poaceae
Description: partial small subunit ribosomal RNA
Source: RNAcentral
AUGCGGCCCCCGAGCGCAGCGCGGCCUCUCCGCCACGGCCUCCGCCCCCGCCUCUCCACUUUCUUCUUCUUCAUUCCAUUCGCGCCUCCCGCCUCGCUACCGCCGCCUGAUGCGGUGCCCGAGCGCAGUGGCGCCUCCCCGCCAUGGCCGCCGCCCCUUGCAAGCCUGCGCCGCCGUGGCCGCCGCGUCGAGCGUCGCCAGCGGUGGAAGGCCGCGGGUGUUGGGGAACAUGGGGUAGGGCGCACCGGCCGGGUGGGCGGCGGCGACCAGCGGCACACGGUGGCGGACGGCGGCGCGCCUUGA